This 468-nucleotide ribosomal RNA is filed under the name uncultured bacterium. RNAcentral describes it as "partial 16S ribosomal RNA". It matches the Rfam family "Bacterial small subunit ribosomal RNA", at positions 28 to 507 of the family's 1533-position model. The record is from RNAcentral.
GACGAACGCUGGCGGCGUGCUUAACACAUGCAAGUCGAACGGAAAGGCCCUGCUUUUUUUGGUUGCUCGAGUGGCGAACGGGUGAGUAACACGUGAGUAACCUGCCCUUCACUUUUGUAUAACUUCAGGAAACUGGGGCUAAUACCGGAUGGGAUCUCCUGCUGCAUGGUGGUGGUUGGAAAGUUUCGGCGGUUGGGUAUGUACUCGCGGCUUAUCAGCUUUUUGGUGGGGUAGUGGCUUACCUGGGCUUUGACGGGUAGACGGCCUGACAGGGUUACCGGCAAGACUGGGACUGAGAUGCGGCGCAGAAGCCUGCGGGAGGGAGCAGUGGGGAAAAUUGUGCAAUGGGCGGGCGGCUGAUGCAGCAAAGCCGCGCGCGUGAUGAAGGUCUUCGGGUUGUGAACCGCGUUCGCCUGUGACGAAGCGGGAGUGACGGUAAUGGGUAAAGAAGCACCGGCUAACUACGUG